Molecule: long non-coding RNA, 967 nt
Organism: Phragmites australis (common reed)
Lineage: Eukaryota; Viridiplantae; Streptophyta; Magnoliopsida; Poales; Poaceae
Exons: 2
Source: RefSeq, a predicted model, not a curated record
AUAGUCUAUUUUACAAGUGGACUAUUACAUGGAUAUAUGGUAUGCAAUAGACUAAUGCUGAUGAUGAGCUGCUGUUCUUUCACGUGAUGGAAAAUGCAUAUAUAUGUUAGUUUUGUUUUGAUGCAAAUUAGCGUGAAUAUCAUUGUAGGUAAUUUUAUGCUACUAUGUAGGCAUAUUGAUGAUACUAUGUAGACAAAUUAAUAGUAUUAUGUAGGAAAGUUUAUAUUGGCAAAGAUAGUGAUAUAGCAGAUAUAUAUUGUGCUAACCAUACAAGUGCUAUUGAUGUAGCAUCUCAUUAUUGUAGGGUGUUCAACAAGUUUUUUUCGCAGUAGUCAUGUUUCAGGCAUUCUAUGUUCAAUGUACCUAUCUUUUAGGGGAUGUCGUUAAGCAUUGAGUAGGCAGUCUACUGUCUAGGCAAAUUAUUGUACCAUGUAGGCAAAUCGAUUCUACUGUGUAGGCAAAUUCGACAUAUAUAGUGAUGCAGGAGACGUGAAGAGUGCUAAUGGUGGUGUUAGGCAAUCUUUUUUCCUUUUGUACUGCUGUUGCUAUAACUGUUUAAUGAGGAGUCAUUUUUUUCUUGCAGGAUUAUGUUCAGUUUUUCUUGCAGGAUUAUGUUCAGUUUGUUGAAAAAGAAGGCCGAGCUGGCAGCUUCAAAUUGAGAAUGCCAUCUGCAGUGUGCCUUUUUGGCCCUGUGCAGAAUGUUCCACUGCAAACUAAUAGCAUGGACUGUGUUGAUGCAGUGGGAACAUUGGGAUGGGCGUAUUCUACCAACACUCAAGGAUCUGGUUUUUUCUCUUUAGUUUCUUUUGCACACCUCAUUUGAUCAUCCAAGAUAGCAAAUCUGCUACAAAAAUCAACGAAACAUCCUUUUGUUACUUUUUCCUGUGUAAUUGUUAUUCAACUGGAAGCAAAUUGGAUAAAGUCACAAUUACUGGGCAGAUUAUGCAAAUCCCUGUAUAGAUAUCUA